Molecule: non-coding RNA, 71 nt
Organism: Dryococelus australis
Lineage: Eukaryota; Metazoa; Arthropoda; Insecta; Phasmatodea; Phasmatidae
Source: the annotation of a GenBank genome assembly
GCCCAGUUAGCUCAGACAGUAGAGCAUGAGAGACUUAAUCUCGGGCGUGGGUUCGAGCCACACGUUGGGUA